This is a long non-coding RNA of Neopsephotus bourkii (Bourke's parrot), 1089 nucleotides long. RefSeq lists it as uncharacterized. The transcript has 3 exons. The record is from RefSeq and is a predicted model, not a curated record. Lineage: Eukaryota; Metazoa; Chordata; Aves; Psittaciformes; Psittacidae.
GUGAUUCAGUCAGGCCUUUGUUGAGGUUUUAGGGUGUUACAGAUCUCAGACUACCACUCUCCAAAGAGUUGCUCUUGCUAAAGGGAAGCAUUCUUAUUUAGCUUCUUGGGUUCCUUUCAAUCACUCUGCAGAGAAGUGAGUUAUCUUGCCUCAUUUGUUACUGUUCUGUUCAGUUUUACAAAGAGCCUUCAUUUAAGGUAAACCUAAACUGUAAGUACCUCAAUAAUCAUGUCAAUAUUCAAUGUUCUUUAAUAGUUGAGGGAUAAAGCCAAGGCAUUAUACUGACUGCUUCUGAAAAAGCAGACCAGGACAUGAGCUGAUGUUUCCAAAUCAGUAGAUGUUUCUGAAAAAUCAGUUGCAUAUUUCCAGCUUCUUUUUAACCUUGCUGAGUGUUGAAUAUUAGUCUCUCUCCGAGACAGUCUGUCAGAAGUAGACAAGUAUCUUUGUAUAGCCAUGUCCUCAGGAAGCUAUCACCAUACCUUUGAAAAACUCCUUGGCAAAGUGAGUGUUAACAUUAAAUGCUGGGCAUUUUAGAAGGUGUCGUCAAGACAAGCGUAGGACUGAAUUCCACACCUGGGAUAUAGAAGAUGCUGCGAGAGGCCAAAGGAAGCGAAGACAGCAAACCAACAGAGGAAUAAAAUGAAUCAGGUGUAGGAGGAGGAGCAAUGAUGAUGACUGAAAAUAGCGCAGGCCCUGGUUGUGAAGGUAACUGUGACAAGACAUAGCUUACUUUUUAUUCCAGAGGGACCUCUAAAAAGCAGCUAUGCAUAAGCAUCACUAAAAGACCAACUCUAAGUCUUAAUCUGAUCCCUUGGUCCAUGUGCCUAUAAUUAAAACCAGAAGUGAAAUCUCUGGUGCUUUGUGGACAAUACCUAAGCCUGGUGUGCUAAGUCUGCAUCCUAUAUCUUCUAAGGAGGAAAAUUAAGCUGUGAAGUGGAAUUCCAUCAGGCUGUCUACUGUGAAGCCCUGUGGCUUUAGCAAAGGGGCAGCAGUGGUCAGAAAUGACACUCAAAAGAGGACAGACAUUCCCAGAUGUGCUGGGUACACUGCCAGGCUGGUGCUGCCUUUUACCUCCCUGGGGUUGUAUUC